GAUGAACGCUAGCUACAGGCUUAACACAUGCAAGUCGAGGGGCAGCAUAUUUAUAGCAAUAUAAAUGAUGGCGACCGGCGCACGGGUGAGUAACACGUAUCCAACCUGCCGUUUACUCGGGGAUAGCCUUUCGAAAGAAAGAUUAAUACCCGAUGGUAUAUAUUGAUUUCAUGGUCUUUAUAUUAAAGAAUUUCGGUAAACGAUGGGGAUGCGUUCCAUUAGGCAGUUGGCGGGGUAACGGCCCACCAAACCUACGAUGGAUAGGGGUUCUGAGAGCAAGGUCCCCCACAUUGGAACUGAGACACGGUCCAAACUCCUACGGGAGGCAGCAGUGAGGAAUAUUGGUCAAUGGGCGUAGGCCUGAACCAGCCAAGUAGCGUGAAGGAUGACUGCCCUAUGGGUUGUAAACUUCUUUUAUAGGGGAAUAAAGUGGAGUAUGUAUACUCUUUUGUAUGUACCUUAUGAAUAAGGAUCGGCUAACUCCGUGCCAGCCGCCGCGGUAA
RNAcentral lists this ribosomal RNA (503 nucleotides) under uncultured bacterium. Its description in RNAcentral is "partial 16S ribosomal RNA". It matches the Rfam family "Bacterial small subunit ribosomal RNA", at positions 28 to 523 of the family's 1533-position model. The record is from RNAcentral.